Molecule: ribosomal RNA, 253 nt
Filed under: uncultured bacterium
Lineage: Bacteria
Description: partial 16S ribosomal RNA
Rfam family: Bacterial small subunit ribosomal RNA
Source: RNAcentral
UACGUAGGGUGCGAGCGUUAAUCGGAAUUACUGGGCGUAAAGCGUGCGCAGGCGGUUCGACAAGUCUGAUGUGAAAGCCCCGGGCUCAACCUGGGAAUGGCAUUGGAAACUGGCGAGCUAGAGUGUGGCAGAGGGGGGUGGAAUUCCGCGUGUAGCAGUGAAAUGCGUAGAGAUGUGGAGGAACACCAGUGGCGAAGGCGGCUCACUGGUCCGGUACUGACGCUGAGGUGCGAAAGCGUGGGGAGCAAACAGG